RNAcentral lists this transfer RNA (69 nucleotides) under Marmota monax (woodchuck). It matches the Rfam family "tRNA". Rfam says of the family: Transfer RNA (tRNA) molecules are approximately 80 nucleotides in length. Their secondary structure includes four short double-helical elements and three loops (D, anti-codon, and T loops). Further hydrogen bonds mediate the characteristic L-shaped molecular structure. tRNAs have two regions of fundamental functional importance: the anti-codon, which is responsible for specific mRNA codon recognition, and the 3' end, to which the tRNAs corresponding amino acid is attached (by aminoacyl-tRNA synthetases). tRNAs cope with the degeneracy of the genetic code in two manners: having more than one tRNA (with a specific anti-codon) for a particular amino acid; and 'wobble' base-pairing, i.e. permitting non-standard base-pairing at the 3rd anti-codon position. The record is from Rfam by way of RNAcentral. Lineage: Eukaryota; Metazoa; Chordata; Mammalia; Rodentia; Sciuridae.
GCAGGUGUAGCUCAGUGGUAGAGUACUUGCCUGGCAUGCAUGAGGCCUUAGGUUUGAUUCCGCACUGCA